AUAAUACGUGUAUGGAAGACGACAUUCAAAACUAUUUACCAACUGUCAUGUUUAGUGGGACACCCUGUAGGUAAUAAACUAAAGUAUAAGGCGAGUACUUAGUUCCCUUAAAUUCAUUCCCCAUCUUUCGUAAUCAAGCUCUUCGCUCAAUUUAUGUUCGCUAUAGCUGGCCAAAUGGCUGAACCAAAUUGGCAGAUUUUUUUAGAAAACUUGUUGUUCCCUAGGAGUGACAAAGGCUAAAAAUAUGGAUCUAAUAAAAUUUCUGUGCAACCCCGGGCAAUGCGAACACCAUGAUUCAAGACCAAGCGCUGGUAAAUGCCGGGAUUAAUAUGAAACCUGCGCAAUUCAGCUAGUUAUUCAUAAUGCAUAAUUCAAUAAUUAGAAUUAAAAAUGUAUUUUGAGCAGAACUAUGAAUAUGCAGGGACUAGGGAGUGGGUUGAAUAAAAGGAUUUGCUUGCAAUCCUAUAUUAAAGAUUAUUAAUCUUAAACUCCCCGAAAUAUGAGAUAUUUGGCUGGUUCGUGGCAAACUCCUGCCAAUAAAGAAAUCAAUUCAUCAACUGCAAUAGAAGGAAAACUAAUUACGUUGGAGACUUCUGUUAAGAAAAUAUUAAUUACUACCAAGAACCCGGGGGUUGGUCAGCAUAUAAAUAAACAGAGGAGAAUAAAUGUGUUCCUUCGAGUAGUAGUUGUAGCUUUGACUGACAGAAGGAAGUUUGAGAGAUGAGAAACUGUGAUGCUGGAAACUAAUGGCUCUCUCUUUAAAUAUUCAGUAGACAUUGAGUAAACCAGAGUAUACUGUAAACUGGAUAAAAUGUACUUUCCAACAAAAACAAAUCUCACCAAAGUUAACAAAAGAAGUUAGAUUUUAAACUUUCUGAUUUAAAAACUGUUUUGUUGAUUAUGGUUGUUAUCUAAAUUGAAUAUUAUUGUUGUUUCUUGAAUUAAUUUUUGAGGAUGUUUUGUUAUUUCAAAUUGAUAAUCUUAAUCAAAACUAGCAUUGUGAAAUGAGACUGGGAGCACUUGAAGUUUGGACCGGGACUUCACUUGAUUUUUUUUUUCUCUAAUUAACAGAAACUCCCGUUGUACACAAGGAACCUGUUGUAGAAAUAUCGCGUAUUUAGCCUUUAAUACAUCUCUGUACUCCCUUUAGAAGAAUGUUAACCACCGUACUUCAUGUGGUAUUUCGUGUACUGUAUGUAAACGUGUAGGCUGAACCAAAUAGAUCGUCAAUCUAUUUGGGCUCAACUUCCUUACAGAGUAAUAAAUCAUUUCACAAGGAAGAUUAACUGCCGUUUUAAAUCAGAAAUACUUACGAGAAAGUCCGAUUUUAACUGGUAGAAACUAGAAAUGUAUAGUGUGCAAUGCCUGAUUCCCAUCAAUACCCUUUAAAAGUGUAAAAGUGAGAAGUAUUCUGCCAGUUUCUUUUCUUGUCGCUUCUUCAUGAAUAACUUUCAAGACAUUUUUAAAUGGAGGUUCACAUGAAAUUAUAUUUUCCCUUCCUUUACAGCUGGAUAAUUACUCAGAUAUUCUAGACAUUUAAAUUCAAUUUACUAGAUCAAAUUUGUAAUCUCCUUUCAGUAUAAAUGUUUAAACUUUUAAUUGUUGCUAUAACUGCUCACAUUUUCUAUUCAUACAUUAUUUUGUGUAAACUGAGGCCGAAUUUAAAGAAUUUAAGCCGCGGCUUGACUUUGAGACGCGGCUCAAAUAUGGUUGGUUCCACUUAAAAUUGUAUAUUAUUUUUCAAGAUGUUUCAAAUUCAUUAAAUUCGUACUCUGUAUACACUUUUGUAUUUGUUCAUUAUUUCCACUUUUAUAUGUAUAAUUGUAAUUUAACUUUCAUAAUAUUUGUGUUUAGAAAUGUACAAAUAUAUUUUUAUAUACUCAA
This is a long non-coding RNA of Eurytemora carolleeae, 1884 nucleotides long. RefSeq lists it as uncharacterized. NCBI's taxonomy places the organism in Eukaryota, Metazoa, Arthropoda, Copepoda, Calanoida, Temoridae. The record is from RefSeq and is a predicted model, not a curated record. The transcript has 3 exons.